GACGAACGCUGGCGGCGUGCUUAACACAUGCAAGUCGAACGGUGAAGCGCCUUCCUUUUUGGUGGGUGUGGAUGAGUGGCGAACGGGUGAGUAACACGUGAGUAACCUGCCCCCUUCUUCUGGAUAACCGCAUGAAAGUGUGGCUAAUACGGGAUAUUCUGGGUCUGUCGCAUGAUGGGUCUGGGAAAGAUAUUGUUUCGGUGGGGGAUGGGCUCGCGGCCUAUCAGCUUGUUGGUGGGGUGAUGGCCUACCAAGGCGGUGACGGGUAGCCGGCCUGAGAGGGUGGACGGUCACACUGGGACUGAGACACGGCGCAGACUCCUACGGGAGGCAGCAGUGGGGAAUAUUGCACAAUGGGCGAAAGCCUGAUGCAGCGACGCCGCGUGAGGGAUGGAGGCCUUCGGGUUGUGAACCUCUUUCGCCAGUGAAGCAGGCCUGCCUCGUUUGUGGGUGGGUUGACGGUAGCUGGAUAAGAAGCGCCGGCUAACUACGUG
RNAcentral lists this ribosomal RNA (494 nucleotides) under uncultured bacterium. RNAcentral describes it as "partial 16S ribosomal RNA". It matches the Rfam family "Bacterial small subunit ribosomal RNA", at positions 28 to 507 of the family's 1533-position model. The record is from RNAcentral.